GGUCCUAAAGGGCCGUUGGAGACCACAACGUUGAUAGGUGGGGUGUGUAAGCGUAGCGAUACGUUGAGCUAACCCAUACUAAUUACCCGUGAGGCUUAACCAUACAACACCCAAGAAGUGUUC
Molecule: ribosomal RNA, 123 nt
Filed under: Aeromonas caviae
Lineage: Bacteria; Pseudomonadati; Pseudomonadota; Gammaproteobacteria; Aeromonadales; Aeromonadaceae
Description: partial 23S ribosomal RNA
Rfam family: Bacterial large subunit ribosomal RNA (bases 1-103)
Source: RNAcentral